CCUACGGGAGACUGCAGUGAGGAAUAUUGGUCAAUGGGCGGAAGCCUGAACCAGCCAAGUAGCGUGCAGGAUGACGGCCCUACGGGUUGUAAACUGCUUUUAUACGGGUAUAACGAGCCUUACUUGUAGGGCUUUGCAUGUACCGUAUGAAUAAGGAACGGCUAAUUCCGUGCCAGCAGCCGCGGUAAUACGGAGGGUCCGGGCGUUAUCCGGAUUUACUGGGUGUAAAGGGAGCGUAGGCGGCAUGUCAAGCAUGCCGUGAAAUGUCCGGGCUCAACCCGGGCCCUGCAGCGCGAACGGGCGGGCUUGAGUGCGCGGAAGGCAGGCGGAAUUCGUCGUGUAGCGGUGAAAUGCUUAGAUAUGACGAAGAACCCC
RNAcentral lists this ribosomal RNA (375 nucleotides) under uncultured bacterium. RNAcentral's name for it is "partial 16S ribosomal RNA". It matches the Rfam family "Bacterial small subunit ribosomal RNA", at positions 338 to 710 of the family's 1533-position model. The record is from RNAcentral.